RNAcentral lists this ribosomal RNA (1093 nucleotides) under Escherichia coli. RNAcentral's name for it is "partial 23S ribosomal RNA". It matches the Rfam family "Bacterial large subunit ribosomal RNA", at positions 419 to 1516 of the family's 2925-position model. Lineage: Bacteria; Pseudomonadati; Pseudomonadota; Gammaproteobacteria; Enterobacterales; Enterobacteriaceae. The record is from RNAcentral.
GGGACACGUGGUAUCCUGUCUGAAUAUGGGGGGACCAUCCUCCAAGGCUAAAUACUCCUGACUGACCGAUAGUGAACCAGUACCGUGAGGGAAAGGCGAAAAGAACCCCGGCGAGGGGAGUGAAAAAGAACCUGAAACCGUGUACGUACAAGCAGUGGGAGCCUCUUUUAUGGGGUGACUGCGUACCUUUUGUAUAAUGGGUCAGCGACUUAUAUUCUGUAGCAAGGUUAACCGAAUAGGGGAGCCGAAGGGAAACCGAGUCUUAACUGGGCGUUAAGUUGCAGGGUAUAGACCCGAAACCCGGUGAUCUAGCCAUGGGCAGGUUGAAGGUUGGGUAACACUAACUGGAGGACCGAACCGACUAAUGUUGAAAAAUUAGCGGAUGACUUGUGGCUGGGGGUGAAAGGCCAAUCAAACCGGGAGAUAGCUGGUUCUCCCCGAAAGCUAUUUAGGUAGCGCCUCGUGAAUUCAUCUCCGGGGGUAGAGCACUGUUUCGGCAAGGGGGUCAUCCCGACUUACCAACCCGAUGCAAACUGCGAAUACCGGAGAAUGUUAUCACGGGAGACACACGGCGGGUGCUAACGUCCGUCGUGAAGAGGGAAACAACCCAGACCGCCAGCUAAGGUCCCAAAGUCAUGGUUAAGUGGGAAACGAUGUGGGAAGGCCCAGACAGCCAGGAUGUUGGCUUAGAAGCAGCCAUCAUUUAAAGAAAGCGUAAUAGCUCACUGGUCGAGUCGGCCUGCGCGGAAGAUGUAACGGGGCUAAACCAUGCACCGAAGCUGCGGCAGCGACGCUUAUGCGUUGUUGGGUAGGGGAGCGUUCUGUAAGCCUGUGAAGGUGUGCUGUGAGGCAUGCUGGAGGUAUCAGAAGUGCGAAUGCUGACAUAAGUAACGAUAAAGCGGGUGAAAAGCCCGCUCGCCGGAAGACCAAGGGUUCCUGUCCAACGUUAAUCGGGGCAGGGUGAGUCGACCCCUAAGGCGAGGCCGAAAGGCGUAGUCGAUGGGAAACAGGUUAAUAUUCCUGUACUUGGUGUUACUGCGAAGGGGGGACGGAGAAGGCUAUGUUGGCCGGGCGACGGUUGUCCCGGUUUAAG